UACGUAGGGCGCAAGCGUUGUCCGGAAUCACUGGGCGUAAAGGGUGCGUAGGCGGGUCUUUAAGUCAGGGGUGAAAUCCUGGAGCUCAACUCCAGAACUGCCUUUGAUACUGAAGAUCUUGAGUUCGGGAGAGGUGAGUGGAACUGCGAGAGUAGAGGUGAAAUUCGUAGAUAUUCGCAAGAACACCAGUGGCGAAGGCGGCUCACUGGCCCGAUACUGACGCUGAGGCACGAAAGCGUGGGGAGCAAACAGG
Molecule: ribosomal RNA, 253 nt
Filed under: uncultured bacterium
Lineage: Bacteria
Description: partial 16S ribosomal RNA
Rfam family: Bacterial small subunit ribosomal RNA
Source: RNAcentral